This 570-nucleotide ribosomal RNA is filed under the name bacterium RBM-B27. Its description in RNAcentral is "bacterial SSU rRNA". It matches the Rfam family "Bacterial small subunit ribosomal RNA", at positions 75 to 638 of the family's 1533-position model. The record is from RNAcentral.
AGAGCUUGCUCUCGGGUGACGAGUGGCGGACGGGUGAGUAAUGUCUGGGAAACUGCCUGAUGGAGGGGGAUAACUACUGGAAACUAGUAGCUAAUACCGCAUAACGUCGCAAGACCAAAGAGGGGGACCUUCGGGCCUCUUGCCAUCAGAUGUGCCCAGAUGGGAUUAGCUAGUAGGUGGGGUAACGGCUCACCUAGGCGACGAUCCCUAGCUGGUCUGAGAGGAUGACCAGCCACACUGGAACUGAGACACGGUCCAGACUCCUACGGGAGGCAGCAGUGGGGAAUAUUGCACAAUGGGCGCAAGCCUGAUGCAGCCAUGCCGCGUGUAUGAAGAAGGCCUUCGGGUUGUAAAGUACUUUCAGCGGGGAGGAAGGCGAUAAGGUUAAUAACCUUGUCGAUUGACGUUACCCGCAGAAGAAGCACCGGCUAACUCCGUGCCAGCAGCCGCGGUAAUACGGAGGGUGCAAGCGUUAAUCGGAAUUACUGGGCGUAAAGCGCACGCAGGCGGUCUGUCAAGUCGGAUGUGAAAUCCCCGGGCUCAACCUGGGAACUGCAUUCGAAACUGGCA